Molecule: ribosomal RNA, 268 nt
Filed under: uncultured bacterium
Lineage: Bacteria
Description: partial 16S ribosomal RNA
Rfam family: Bacterial small subunit ribosomal RNA
Source: RNAcentral
CUGCCGGCGACCGGCGCACGGGUGAGUAACACGUAUGCAACCUGCCCUCUUCAGGGGGACAACCUUCCGAAAGGGAGGCUAAUCCCGCGUAUAUCGGUUUCGGGCAUCCGAGAUCGAGGAAAGAUUCAUCGGAAGAGGAUGGGCAUGCGGCGCAUUAGCUAGACGGCGGGGUAACGGCCCACCGUGGCGACGAUGCGUAGGGGUUCUGAGAGGAAGGUCCCCCACAUUGGAACUGAGACACGGUCCAAACUCCUACGGGAGGCAGCAG